RNAcentral lists this ribosomal RNA (273 nucleotides) under uncultured bacterium. Its description in RNAcentral is "partial 16S ribosomal RNA". It matches the Rfam family "Bacterial small subunit ribosomal RNA", at positions 81 to 353 of the family's 1533-position model. The record is from RNAcentral.
AAGUUUGAUGGCGACCGGCGCACGGGUGAGUAACACGUAUCCAACCUGCCGAUGACUCGGGGAUAGCCUUUCGAAAGAAAGAUUAAUACCCGAUGGCAUAGUUCUUCCGCAUGGUGGAACUAUUAAAGAAUUUCGGUCAUCGAUGGGGAUGCGUUCCAUUAGGUUGUUGGCGGGGUAACGGCCCACCAAGCCUUCGAUGGAUAGGGGUUCUGAGAGGAAGGCCCCCCACAUUGGAACUGAGACACGGUCCAAACUCCUACGGGAGGCAGCAUG